UUGUGUGAAUACAUAGCACAUUCGAGGUAGACGCAGAGAACUGAAACAUCUAAGUACCUGCAGGAAGAGAAAGAAAAUUCGAUUCCCUGAGUAGCGGCGAGCGAAACGGGAAAAGCCCAAACCAGCAAGCUUGCUUGUUGGGGUUGUAGGACUCCAAUAUGGUAGUUCUUUCAGAUAGUCGAAUGACUUGGAAAAGUCAGUCAAAGAGGGUAAAAACCCCGUAGACGAAAUGUGGAAGACACCUAGGAGGAUCCUGAGUACGGCGGAACACGAGAAAUUCCGUCGGAAUCCGGGAGGACCAUCUCCCAAGGCUAAAUACUCCCUAGUGACCGAUAGUGAACCAGUACCGUGAGGGAAAGGUGAAAAGCACCCCGGAAGGGGAGUGAAAUAGAACCUGAAACCGUGUGCCUACAACAAGUCAAAGCCCGUUAAUGGGUGAUGGCGUGCCUUUUGUAGAAUGAACCGGCGAGUUACGAUUGCAUGCGAGGUUAAGUUGAAGAGACGGAGCCGCAGCGAAAGCGAGUCUGAAUAGGGCGUUUGAGUAUGUAGUCGUAGACCCGAAACCAUGUGAUCUA
Molecule: ribosomal RNA, 575 nt
Filed under: Enterococcus faecium
Lineage: Bacteria; Bacillati; Bacillota; Bacilli; Lactobacillales; Enterococcaceae
Description: partial 23S ribosomal RNA
Rfam family: Bacterial large subunit ribosomal RNA
Source: RNAcentral